AACGCGAAGAACCUUACCUGGGCUCGAACGGCCGGUUAACGGUAGUGGAAACACUUCUACUCCGCAAGGAGGUCCGGUCGAGGUGCUGCAUGGCUGUCGUCAGCUCGUGUCGUGAGAUGUUGGGUUAAGUCCCGCAACGAGCGCAACCCUUGUCCUGUGUUGCCAUUCCGCAAGGAGGAACUCGCAGGAGACCGCCAGCGAUAAGCUGGAGGAAGGUGGGGAUGACGUCAAGUCCUCAUGGCCUUUAUGUCCAGGGCUACACACGUGCUACAAUGGCCGGUACAAAGCGUCGCUAAGUCGCGAGACGGAGCCAAUCGCAAAAAACCGGUCUCAGUUCGGAUUGCAGGCUGCAACUCGCCUGCAUGAAGCUGGAAUCGCUAGUAAUGGCGUAUCAGAACGAUGCCGUGAAUACGUUCCCGGGCCUUGUACACACCGAUAGC
This 440-nucleotide ribosomal RNA is filed under the name uncultured bacterium. Its description in RNAcentral is "bacterial SSU rRNA". It matches the Rfam family "Bacterial small subunit ribosomal RNA", at positions 958 to 1397 of the family's 1533-position model. The record is from RNAcentral.